This 1718-nucleotide long non-coding RNA is filed under the name Pandoravirus salinus. RNAcentral describes it as "putative ncRNA". The record is from RNAcentral.
CAGCAUUGUUCGCGCCAGAGGUCGGCUUGGCCGCGGCCCGGCCGGCCGAUCGGCCCAAAACCUGCGCCCGGCCGCCCGGCCGCCGCGGCACGACACCAACCACGCCAGAGAAAGAGCAAAAAAAAGAGCAUGUCCAUAAAAAAAGCGACACAAGAGGAACAACAUAAUUCAAAAAAAAAAAGAAUCAUGCGGGCGGCGGACGCGCGCCGUGCGUGACGGCAUAACAGACACAGUCACCGUGGCCGUUGAUCCACGCUGCUACGGCGGCGUGCGGCGACAUGGGGCAGCCGCGCGCGUGCGCAUACGCGAGGCAGUCGAGGUGGCCGGCCGAAGCCGCCGACUGGCACGUCGUCUCGGUCCACGGACACCCGCUCUCGUAGAGGAGCACGAGGGCCUCUAGGCGCCCGGCAAAGGCCGCCACCUGCGUCGCCGUCUCGUCGAGGGGACAACCGUGGGUGAUCAGCCAUCGCAGCAUGUCCAUGUGCCCGCCAAAGGCUGCACACGCGACGUCGCGCGUGCCCUGCGGACAACCGUGUGCAUGCAACCACAUGGCCGUAUCGAGGUGACCUCCGAGGGCGGCUGCGGAAAAAACGCCGGCGUCCCACGGGCACCCAUUGUCGCGCAGCGUCUGGACGAGGUCGAGGCGGCCGUUCCCGGCAGCGGUGGCGCAAUGCGCUGCCGACCAGGGAGCCGCGCGCGCGCACAGCAGGGAGACACACGCGCUGUGGCCGCCGGCGGCCGCUGCAUCGCACAGGUCGGCAUCAAUCACGAGGCCGCGAUCUAGCAUGGCCCGCAACAGAUCGUCGUGGCCGCUCAGUGCCGCCUCCGUCGCAGUCUCGGGAAACCACGGGCACCCGGCAGAGACGAGGUACCUGGCGGCAUCGAUGUGGGCGCAUCGCACCGCAGUAGACACGACAUAGGGAUGCCAUUGGCAUCCGUGAUCGUGCAGCCAGUUCAAGACAUCGAUGCGGCCCGACCGGGCGGCCGAAACCAGGGCCCACCAGUCGUCGCCCCUGUCGGUCGUGCAUAGGUGCUCGUGCAAAUAGAUCAUGCAAUCGAGAUGCCCGCCGUGCGCGGCCGCACACAUGCUGUCCCAUUUGAACGUGAACCCUCGUCGAGAAAGCCACGCGAGCACAGUCACAUGGUUUGAUUGCGCGGCGCAAACGGCCAUGUCGCGAGGCCACGCCAGGCCGCGAUCGUACAUGUGGUCCAGGCACUGAACGUGGCCAGCGGUAGCCGCCGCGCGCAUGAGACACUUGUAAGAAAGCGCGCGGUGCGCAGACACGCCGGCAUGUUGUUCCAUCGCAUCGGAUGUGGCUGCACUCGCCUCUGUGGGGGUGUCCGAGGCGAGCGCCCGGUCGACACAAGACUCACGGCGGCCGAUGGCGGCGCCAUCGCGCGCAAUAGCACGCCAGUGGCUGCACACACGGCCGACGACGGCACCGAGCACUGCACAUGGCAGUUGUGCAAAUACGGCCGCCAGGAUUUCGUCGGGGAGCCGGUCUAUUUGACGGGGCGCGCAUCUCGGCUUUUUUGUUUCGGUGCCUUUUUUCCCUUGUUUGUUUCUUUUCAUCUCUGCCUCUAGGUCGGCCGCACACAGGUUCGCCUCCCCUUUGUGAUUGCUUGCAGUCGGCUCACAGGCAAAGGCGCUCGGUCCCUUGCGGCGUCCUUUGCUUCUGCACUAUUGUUUCUGUGCAUGAAAAAAACAUAAAACAAAA